CUUUUCUUCUCGCAACUACCUAAUAUUCAAUCUUCUCCCCGCAACAGUCUAUUACACAUAGAGUUAAUCCAAAAUCCUCUAGAAAUAUUUAUCCCUUCUGUUAGUUGAUGAGGAAGAAACGUUCGGACCAGUAGGAUAGUAUCCUUUAUAUUCUUCCUCAAAUGAUGAGCUUGCAAUCCUUCUACCUCGUUCUAGGUUUUGGGGUCACCGCAGCUAUCUUUGCUUGCAACCAUCGCUGCUUCCUGCUGCAGCAGCUUUCACAUCCUCCUAAAUCCAGAUCUUUCAAGUAAGCGUCUCUUUUCCUUGAUUUUAGGCAUGAAUUAUGUGAGAAUUGAAGAAGGAUUGAUUUAUCCAGAAACUUUGUGUUCCCAAUUGAGUCUAUAUAAAGGGAGAUUUAGGAUUGGAAUAGGCAUCCCAGCACAAUCCAAAGAAACCCAAAAACAAGCUUAGAAACAAUAGCAAUGAAGCCAAGCAUUCAUGCAUUUACCAGCUUCAACUCUCAGCCAUCCUCCUAGAAACUCUCAUUCAAACCAAUUUCCCAGAAAUCCCAAAUCCAGAAACCCAAUUCUCUCACACCACGCUUCAUGCUGUCAAGCCCAUUUGUUGUUUGAAUCACAUACAAGAUUUCUCUUUAAUCGGAUUAUUGGGUUAAUCUUGGCCUAGUCGCAAUUUAAUUCGAAAAAAGACCCUCACAGCUACUCACUUUUUAGUUGGAUGGUUUCGGUCACAACCCAGUAAAAGACCAUUUUGCCCUUCUCUCAUAUCUUCUUACAAUUUUGCCACUCAAUUUUCAGUUACUUUUCAUUAAAGUUACGAAAAAUACUAUUUUACCCUUCUCGGAUAGCCUAAUUACGGUUUUGCCAUGCCUCCACUCUAACCCCGUAGCAACGAGCGGGUCACUACCUAAUGAGGUAAUAGCCUCCAGUUUUUUACAAAACCUAUGAGAGCUCUCGCUCUCUCACUACGGCGGCGGCUAACCUUAGGGUUUCCCCGCCCAAACACCUUGACUGGCGACGUUCUUGUUUAUGGUUCUCAGCUGACCACUCUCUUGGCCUCGCGAAUCCCUCCAUGGCAAUCCCCAGGUUGCUACACCUCUUAAUUUCGAUGUUGGAUCUCUUCCCUGGCAUUCACUUCCAAUGUCAGGAAUGAUGAUGGACUGCGAUGCGUCUCUCUAGCGGAUCUGAAUCACUCUUGGGAUCCCGGGUUUAGCAUUGAGGCAAGAGAUCAAUCCUUCGUUGGUGGAGACCCGAUCUGUUGUUGGCCGGCGGCAUAGAUGUGUGGGUAUUGUCCCCAAAUUCAGAGGUGGCAGUCCACGACUGAGGAAGGUACAAGAAGCUCAGAUCUAUGGAGGUGAGCCACAACUUCCGUUUUACAUCAGAGGUUUUUUGGGUUGUACGACUUGAGGCAGCCGGGAUGAGACCUAGCUAGUGAUCAGUUGUGGAUGAGUUGUUUCCGGCAUGAGAAGGCGGCGCAAUGGCUAGUUUCAAGGGCAUGGCAGCGCUAGUUAUGGAGUUGUGAUCCAGGUCGAAUCUGGCUUCGGGUCUGGAGCAGGGUCUGGGUCUGGGAUCCAGGUGGGCCUUGCGGGCUUUGGUACUGGAAUCCAAUUUCUUUUUUCUCUUGGAAAUACUGCCAAUGUCUUUGGUUUUGGCCUUUACACUGGUAUUGCUAUUGGUUGACAGACCCACAACUAUGGUAUUUGUUCGUUAAAGAUCGGCUGCCAUCACGGCCAUAGGAAUCACCCUUGGUCAGCUUCAUUUCUUCAAGUGGCAGAUUACCCUUAGCCGGGUGCCGAAGUGAUUUUUAUCAUUUUGGGCAUUGGAUUUGAUGAGUAGUGAAAUCAUCGACUACUCAUUUCGCUCAACGGCUGCAAUUCGUGAGCGUAACACCGAGUCUAAACGUUAUUGUUUUAGCGCUGACACCGUUAUUGCAAUUUUACUUUCAAAUGCUUUUGUUUUCUCGAUAUAUCUUUACAUCAUCUCUAUGUAAUCUUUUGAUUAUAAUAAAGUGAUGACCUUUUCCAUUCAAAAAAAAAAAAACACACUGAACUCGACAGCAAACUCAUUUACUAUCAGAAUUGGGUAAAUGUGUAUCUAUAUUUAGGGAAAAGGCUUUGUUUGCUCAUUAAUUUGAAUAUGCUUUUGAUUCUUUAUACUUCACCGCGUGUAUCAUGUCCAUAUAUAAAUUUAACAAUCUCUAAUCCAAUCUUCUAAAUGCAUCCAGUGAUUAUGGUUUCAAACAGUUUGCAAUCUAAUUAAAACCUUGUAUGAGGUUGAAUCGGUUUGUAUAUGUUUGCUUUAUAAUAAGUUGCAAUUUUUUUGUCCUUUUUUUUAUUUUUUAUAUUUUUAUAGAGGGUUUGGAACGACCUAACAUAUCUGGAAGGCUCAGCCGUAAGAAGUUGCAAUUAUGUUCAUGGAGGAGUUAAUAAUCCAACUAAAAUUUUUUCUUUGCAACAAAAAAUAAAUAAAAUAAAAGGUAAUGCAUAUAUAGUUUAAGAUCGUUACCACAUGAUUAUUAUGAAAGUGAACAUUCAUGUAGCGAGAUACAGGUACAACAUGUGAUUACUGUACUUCUGUAGUUCUGUCUGACCACAAAUACAUCCUUAAUACAGGAAAAAUCAACACACACUAUUACUUCCAAUUAUUGCACAAAUUUACACUCCCUGCUUAAUUUGUCUAGUUCUUGUACACAAAUUGAAGGAAAUGUUUGUUUCAUGAACAUUUCAUAUGAAAGCGCUUAGGCCGCCCCCUUCUGCUAGAUCCAUUUUACUAUAACUGUGCCAUCUCGAUCAGUUCUAUAAGAUUGACUUUGACGUAGUACAAUUUGAUAGCUGAAUUAAUGGUGACUCAACCAUGCUAAUGCAGGUGCAAUCUGUUGAAAAAUUGGAGGCAGCAUUAAUCAAUGAAUCAAACAAACAAUGAGCUCUCUCUCUCUCUCUCAUAUUUUCUUUUUACUAGGUAGGGUUUUGGAUUAGAACUCAAAAUAAUGAGUAUUCAAGAGAUACGUACCCCAGUUUGAUUGCAUUUGCUGGAGCAUUAUUGUUCUGUGGCUGAUCAGUUUGAUUAUGUGGCUGGCUUAGCUGGACAUGGAUGGGUGCAUGCAACUGAAAUCCAUUAGUAAUGGCAAAUGGGGGUUCAGAGCCUCUGUGUUCUUCAUUCACAUCCCUUGUUCCAUAGGCCUACAAGUGAAAACUUUUUAGCUUUUACAAGAGAAGAAAAUCAAGAAAUCAACACUUUCCAUAAUGUUAAUAAACAGUUUUUUUUUUUUGAUCAGGUAAACAACUCAAAUAUUACAACUAUGUGAGUCGAACUUACAACCUCCCACUUACUAAAAGAAGACUAUGCCGCUAGACCAAAUUAAUGGUAUUGGGUGUUAAUAUAUAGUUAACAUUAUGGUUUUGCUCUGAGUAUUUCUAAAAUUGAAAAGAACAAAAAUUAAGGGAAGGAAAAUGAAUUGUGUUUAGACAAUACCGUACCUUUCUUUGGAGUUCGGCAUUCUCUUUACCUAUGAAGUCUAGCUUCUUAUACAGUUCUAUGUUCUCUUGAUGUAUGAGAUUUCCCUGAAACAAACUGGCAAAUAUUAGAAAAAUAAGCACCAUCAACAUUAUUUCAUUAAGAAAAUGGGAGAAAUUAUUGGUUAACCUUCUGGUUCUGGUCUUUUAUUUCUUCAUGUAAUAGCUGAUCGUGUAGAAAAAUUAAUUUGUAAAUGAUUGUUAAUUUGUUAUACAUGUGCUAACCAUAUAAGGAUCAUAAUUAAACUGAAAAUAAUAUUAGUGUCUAAUCAGAUAUAGGCUAUGGUACCUUUUUCAACCGGACACCUUUCAAACUCAUGUCCAGUUUGCUUUCCAGGUUCUGUAGAUCUUUGGCGCUCAAUCCAGAUAGUUCUUCACCCAUCAAUUGCCUAAAUAUUUCACAAAACAUGUGCACGUAUGCUCUCAAGGUUCUCAUACAUUAACUGAUAGUCAUUAUAUCUUUGUUGACUAAACCAUCAUCUUUUUUGGGUAAACCAUCAUCUUGAGUGUCAAAGGAAGCAACUAUUUAAGUGAUCUCCAAAAACUGAAUGUUAAUGGAUUCUCUUCUUUGUCAGAAUUUGAGGGUUUGGGUUACUGUUUUCGGUAUGGGACUGUUCCAGCUGGUGAUGCACAUGAACUAUAAUGUGAUUUUAUAAGAAUUCAACCCCAAAAGGAAGAAUGAUUUUGAAUUGCAAAUUAGGGAGUGUCAAUUUCAUUCUUCUUAUGAAAACUUCAAUAACCAACAUGCAGGUCGGAAAUUAUAUCAUUCAAUUUAAAGAAAAAAAAUGUAGUUCAAAUCAAACUCCUAGGUUUUAGUUGAGUGUUCAGUAUCUAGGAUGUGAUUAUUGUACCUGUGAGAUUCUUGCAAGUACUGCAAUUGUUGCCUCAAGCUUGCUGCUUCCCUUUGCCAAAACUAGCAUAUAUAUAGCACAAAAAAAACUUAUUCUCAUGCAAUGCAAUAUUAGAUACAGAAAGAUGAGCAUUCAUGCGAUUACUCAGAGCACUUUUUUUUUCUUUUUCUUUUUCUUUUUUGUGAGAAUCAGAACACUGUACUUUUGAGUAUAUAAUGUAGAUGAGUUGAUGAAAAAGAAGUCGAUACAUUUAAGCCAAAAACAAUAAAAUAUCAAUCAUAAUUGAUUAGCUUUGUUGAUAUAUUCCUUUUUCUGUCAUCGUUCAUGUACCAUAGUAGUUCACCCAGAAGUCAUCGUUUCCAGGUUAAACCCUAAAAAAAAACUCAAUUAAAUUACCCAUUAUAUUCAAAUCAAGCUAUCAAUUAAUCAAGAAAAUUACACUAAUAUGAUUAGGACACAACUUGAACCCAAAAGCACCUAUUACUCCUCAAAAUCUAAUUCACUCAACAACGUACAUAUCAUCAUCGCAAGAGAAAAUGAUAAUAUCUGUAGUACUAAAUGACAUGUUCACAUAUAUUUACAUAUGCGUGACACCUUCUGAAGUUCAAGUCUUGAUCUAAAAGCUGAUGUUUACUGAGCAAGAGCAGAGAGAAAAAGCUCGUUAUAUUAAGUUCUGACGUGGUGUUGGCUUUGGAUUCUAACAGGAUCGGAGUUGUUGGAUUACACAAUUAGAGACAUAUAACUACUCACCAUGCCAUUUAUUGAUCUAAAUGAAUUUUGAUUUUCAGAUUAAGUGUCUGUGAACGUGGAGAACCUGCAGAAUGGCAUCAAGAGUAGUCUUGUGAGUUCAACAUGGAUGGUACAUGAAGAAAAAUUUGGUUUAUGACUACAAUGUCAUUGUCAGAUAAAUUACUUGAGUUUGGAUUGUCAAAUUGUCUCGCAGGGAAAUCUAGAAGGCUUCAUUUCAAGACUUGGUUACUCAUGAGCCUGCAUGCCACUUGUAUGAUGAAGUUGCGGCAAGUAUUCUAUCUUUUGUUACAGAAUAGCUGACUUGAGGGACAGGUAACACAAUAGCACUUGAAUAAAGUAUAAUGUAGUAACAGUUAUAUUUCUUUUAGCUUUAGAUGCACAGUAGAUUUUAAGCAUUUGUAUAAUUGUAUCCAUACCCUCGCAAGUUGAAAGGAUUUUAAUUUCGCACCUUUUGGAUUAGAAUUGGGAGUAGUUGCACGUCUUUCCUCUCAGAUAUGUGCAAAUAGGGAGCUGAGUAUGUGAACCAUCUGUUUUUGCAAUGUCCAGUUGCUUUGUAUAUCUGACCCUCGCACAUGGAAAGGAUUUCAAUUUGGCACCUUUUGGAUAUGCAUCGGCGUUAUCUAAAAUAGCUCUUUUUUCUACUCACUUAGAUUGGAAUGCUGCAGUUAUCUAGUACGUUUUCGCCACCUACAUGGAUUAGUUCUGGUCAGAAUCAAGUAGUGGAGAUAUUGUGGCAUUCCCUCUGCUUGGUCAAAAGAAACGAACUAUUAUUCAAUGGAAUUUUGUUGAAGAAUAUUCCAACCUUGAACUUAUGCUACUAUCCAGACCUUCAGCACCUUCAUACUUUCUACUGUAGUUUUGUUCUUUUCUUCUGCAAAUGCAAACCAAAUAUGCAUUAGCUUAAGGGGUACGUAGCUAGCUAGCCUCAUUGCUACUUGGAUGUUAUACGUAUGAAAGUUAGCACUUCUCUCGCUGCAGCAUCUAUAGAUUUUCCCCGUGUACGUACGUACUCCAAUUUUCCAUAUUUGUAAUUGAUAUCAUAACGAGAUCAUGCUUGUGUAUGUUUGACCUAGAGCAUAUAUAUAGUGUUGCAUGCCGUGGUCUUAGAUAAACUUAAAGCCUGGCAUAUCUGGC
RNAcentral lists this long non-coding RNA (6243 nucleotides) under Fragaria vesca (wild strawberry). RNAcentral describes it as "long non-coding RNA (FVES_LNC000525)". The record is from RNAcentral. Lineage: Eukaryota; Viridiplantae; Streptophyta; Magnoliopsida; Rosales; Rosaceae.